This 9077-nucleotide long non-coding RNA is filed under the name Gossypium barbadense (sea-island cotton). RNAcentral's name for it is "long non-coding RNA (GBAR_LNC021877)". The record is from RNAcentral. Lineage: Eukaryota; Viridiplantae; Streptophyta; Magnoliopsida; Malvales; Malvaceae.
CUACCUCAAACCUCAACAAUAGUUGAUAACAUAAUUAAAGUCAAUAAAAAAGCCUAAUUGAAGGAAAUUAAGUUAUUUACUUUAUUAGCUAUAAAAUCUUAUUCAUUCAUUUAGUUACUUGACGGGCAUAUACAAUUAAAAGUUAAUCAUAUAUAUAAAUUAGUUCUCGCUCUACCUAUUUGCUAUUAGGGUCGCACAUAUAUACAAACGCUAAAGAAAACAAAUAGAAAAUACUAGUUUGAUCCCUGUGCAAUGCACGAGUCUACUGUACUUAAUAAUUAAAACAUAUUAUUUUACUUCAUAUUGUUUUUUUAAUUAAAAGAUUUACAAAUAAUGUAAAUAAAGAAAUUUAAAAAUAAAAUAUUCAAAAAAUACUAUGUCAAAUUAAAUAAUUUUAAGAAAUAAGUACUUUAUUUUAAUAAAAAAUGAGAAUCCUUUUUAUUAAAUAUUCAUAAAUUGAUUUUUAAAUAGAUUUUUUAUAUUUAUAUAAUGAUUAAGAUUUGAGCCCAACAAUUUUAUUAAUAUUGUCGUUCACUUGCCGUAAUUAUAUAGUGCCACAUAGGGUUAUUUCCUAAUUUGGUUGUACAGAUUAUGUAUAAUAUAUAGGGUUAUUAUUUGAUAUAUUAGCGGUGGUGUUUUUAACUCGGCAAGGAAAUUUAAGAAACGGUCAAUUGUCUUUAAUUGAUAUUAAAAAACACUAAAUAAAUAAUACACAUGAUGGUUUUUUAAACUGUUUGUGGAAUUAAAAAAUUUCACCACUAAAUAUCAAAUAAUAAUAUUUGUAUAUUAUUUAUACAAUGAUAAAUGGUUGAGAUGUUGAUUUUCAUUUUUUACAUUAACUUGUUUCAUGCAAAUUUUUUAUUUAGCCUACAAGUCGAAUAUACUGCUUGCAAGUUAGGGACAAAAAUACAUCCAUUUAUAUGAUUUUUAUUUUACAAAUUAAUCUGGCAUAUCUUAACAUAUCAACUCCAGAUUUGGAUCUUGAAACAUGUAGACACUUGCGUUGAAUGGGCCGCUCGCUUCUAAGAGGAUGGACCUAGAUUUCUUCUCUACUAUUUGUUUUCUUGCAUUUUAUUAUUUUUAUUUAAUAAAUUAAUAAAUUAGUUCCUAUGCACUGGUUAUUCUAUUAAAAAUUAUACUCAUGUCUUCUGUUAAAAGCCGGUCCCUAUACAUUAGAAUGAGAUAAUGUGGCACACCACGUGUAACUAUCUAGUUAUUCUAUCAGCCACAUCGAUUUUUAACAAUAAAAAUCGAUAGAAAUUUUUAAUAGAAAAAGUCAGUUUACUCUUUGAUCUAAUGUAUAAAUAUUAAAUUACCCAUUUUUAAAUAAAUGAAACAAAAUGUAAUCUAUAAAUGAAACAAAAUGUAAUCUAACUCUUAACAUAAAAGCCUCCAUGAUAAUUUUAACAUAAAUUAAAUUUAUUACAAGAAAUAUAAAGGCUACACACCAUCUUUUCCCCACCUCUAAAUUUAGAGGGUAUGUAUAUUUGGGGCAAGCAUUGUUUUCUAGGUUUUAAAGUGUUAAACUUGUCCCUGUAUCAUUUAUUAAAUUAUAUUUUAAUUCUUUUGGAAAACUAAAUAAAUUAGUCAUUAUACAUUAGACGAAGGAGUAAAAUAGUAUUUUUGUUAAACUUGUGCCGUUAAUAUAAGAUAAAAUAAUAAAUUUAGCCUUCAAUCUUUACAUUUCUUUUUUCAAUUUGACUCCUACUAUUUUAUUUGGACCCUAAAAAUUUCAUCGUUGAUAUGAAACUAUUUUAUCUUAUACGUCACAUUAUCAAAUAAUUUAAAAAUUAUUAAAAAAAACUCUUCAAACUGAAAAAAUGUAAAAGAAAUAAAAAAUUAUAAUUUUUUUCCCAAAAUUUCAAUAAAAGAUAUCCAUUUUCAACAAUUUAGGUUACCAUAUUUGUUGCGGUCAUUUUGCACAUUAAGAAAUACCAUUUUCCACAAUUCCAUGGCAGCUUUGUAGUGUGAUUCACGUACCAUGACAUGUUUACAUUAAGAAUCAGUGAAUAAAUAAACAUUAAAGUUCUUUUAGCCUCUAAUUUGGUCGUAUUAGUAUUAAUAAAAAAAAUUAGAUAGUGUUUUAGAAAUCUUUGGAUUUUGUGUAAUUGUGUAACACCCCUUACUCGAGUCCAUAGCCAGAGUCGAGCAUGAGGCGUUACUUAACUUAACUUAAAGGUUCGGAGCAUAAAAAUUUACUUAUAAAAGUUAUUUUACUGUUCUUAAUAAAGCUGUCCACCUGCGCAGAAAUCACUAAAUUAAUUAUAACUCAAGAUACAAAACUCGAAAUUUAGAUCCGUAAAUUUUCUAUGAAACUAGACUCAUAUAUAUUUUCACCAUAAAUUUUUCAGAAUUUUUAGUUCAUCCAAUUAGUACAUUUUAUUAGUUAAAGUCUCCCCUGUUUCACUGGUCGACUAUCCUGACCUCUCGUCACUAAAAUUCAAUUAUCUCAUUGUACAGACUUCAUAUGGUGUUUCUACUUAUUUCUACUUAAAAUAGACUCAUUAAGGAAUCUAUACAUAUAAAUUAUAACUCUUAAUCCCUUUUUUACAAUUUUUAAUGAAUUUCUAAAGUCAAAAUAGGGGACUUCAAAAUCAUUCUGACUCUGUCUCACUAUAAUUAAGAUAUCUAAGAGUAUAUAACUCUUUUGCUUACUCUAUUUCUUUUAUGUCAAAGUAUACUCAUUUAGCUUUAAUUUCAUAUCUCACUCAGCUUCUAAUUCAAUUUACACCAUUUUUGAUGAUUUUUCAAAGUUACAUCAAUGCUGCUGUCCAAGAACUGCUCCAUUGCAAUUUUUUUUAAAAAAUUCAAUAUAACCCCUUUAUAAUUAUCUAACCUUCCCUGCAAAUUUCAAAUCACAACCAAUUCCAGUAUUUCAACUACUUCAUUUAAAUACUAAUGAAGUUCAACCAAUCAACCAUUUCAAACUAAAAACAUGUAUAUAUUUCGAUAUUUAACACAACCAUAACAUUCAAAUUUACUUUGCAUACUUAGUCAUUCAUUCUAUUACUUUUUAUCUCAAUUCCCUAUACAUGCCAUAUAAAUCCAAAUUUAUUUAACAAAAUCUACCAGAGUAAAUCUGGAUAGUGUGAUUUCUGAUGUAGAUCCGAUCCUCCGAAUGUAUAAAUACGUCAAUCUACAAAAAACAAUAAACACACACAAGUAAGCUUAUAGAAAGCUUAGUAAGUUCAUAGGCACAAAACAUGAAUCUUACGAAACAUUUAUACACUUAUACAUUAUACACCAUUACUAAGUUUACCUGUCAACCACAAUCUUUGGUGAGUUCCUUGGUAUAAACUCACUACUACUUAUUCUUUUACCAUAAUUCCUUUGGGCCCAUUUGUCACUUACCAUCCUUGAUCAAAAUUAAGGAACGAUUACGGAAAAUUGAGUACUUCACUUUCACUUUUCCAUACGAUCUCUUAUCACUUGUCCCUGAUCAGAUAAGUGUAGCUAGGCUACCACUUAUCACUUUGUCACUUGAUCAGAUAAGUGUAGCUAAAGCUAUCACUUAUCACUUUAUCACUUGAUGAGAUAAGUGUAGUUAAAGCUACCACUUAUCAGUUUGUCACUUGAUCAGAUAAGUGUAGUUAAAGCUACCACUUAUCACUUUGUCACUUGAUCAGAAGUACUCAAAUCUGGCGUUCCGCUCAAUUUGAUCAUUUGUUCAGUUUUCGCAUUUUUAUUUUAUUUUCAUUUCAUCAAUAAAUAUAUAUUUCAUCAUACAUUAUAUAAUUCAUGAAAUUAACAUUUAAUCAUAAAAUUUCGGCCAUAUGAACUUACCUAGAUCGAUUUGCAGAAUUUGUAAAAGUUCAGGGGCUAAUCGGCUACUUUUUCUUUUCCUUGACUUGUUUCGGGUUCUCGAUAUAAAAUAAAAAUUUAUUCAUUCAUCAACAUAUAAUUCAAUUCUAAUUCAUUUAACAAUUUAUGCCCUUUAAUUUUCUAAAUUACACUUUUACCCCAAACUUUACAAUUUUUACAAUUUGGUCCCUACUUAAUUAACCCCUCAAUUGAUCUAAUUUUUCUCAAUUAACACCUUUUACAACUAUUUUAGACUACUUCAUAGCCUUUAAUAUUCAAAACCGCAACACCAAACCUUAAUUCCCAACUUUUUCACAAUUAAGUCCCUAAAAUCAAUUUCUAUCAAAAUUACUUAAUAAAGUCAUCAUAUAACAAAUUUAAAGCUUUAAUUCCAUGUUUAUUCAUAAUAAAAAUCAAUAACUCAUCAAUGGUAACUCUAAAAAUCAGCCAUGAGAUAAAAAAACUAAUGAACUAAUUAGUUGGACUUAUUUGUAAAAGUAUCAAAAUCACAAAAAUUAGAAGAAAUAAUCAAGAAUUAAACUUACAUGAUUCAAAUAUAUGAAAAACCAGCUUGUUUCAGACCUCCUAUGGCGUUUUUCUGAUAAAUUGUGAAGAGAUCUCUAGAUUUUUCACUUUUGUCUUUGUUUUAUAUGCUUAAUUUGUUAAGUUUCCAAUUUUGCCCCUGUUUCUCCUUACAUUCUGCUGAUUUUUCUUACCCAACCGUCCAGCCCAUAUAAUUUGGGCCUAAUUUCCUUUUAAAUCCCUCCUCAUUAGUCACUUAAGCUAUUUUUAUCACAAUUUAACAAAUUUUACACUAUUUUCAAUUUAGUCCUUUUUAGUUAAUUAACUGUCCAAACGUUAAAAUUUUCUAACGAAACUUUAAUACCAACUCAAUGACACUCUAUAAAUAUUUCUAAAAAUAUUUAUGGCUUGGUUUAAAAUCUUCGACGUCUCGAUACCUCGUUUUUGAUUUUAAUUAUUUUAAUAUUUAUUCCUAGUACACUAUUCACUAUUUCAAAAAUUUUCCUAACUUCACAUUUAACUUAUACUUACUAAAUUUAUAAUAUUUUCUACUCGUUUAUCAGAUUUAGUGAUCUCGAAUCUCCAUUCCGACACCACUAAAAAUUUAGGCUAUUACAAAUUGUUUGUAAUUAUAUAUAGGUGGUAUGUUUGAAUAAUCAUUGUAAUUAGUGAGUUCCAUCGAAUUGAGUGUAAUUGGAGUAGAGGUAUCCUUAAGCCAGGUUGGGUUGGACCCAAGCUCGGUUCCAAUAAUUUCAAACUCAAGCCCGUUUUUGGACCGCCCGCCCAAAAAAUCAAUUUUACUAUUCAAAAAAAUAUUAUUAAAAAUAAUAUUUUAAUUGAUAUUUUAUAUACUUUUAUAAUUAAAUUUAAAUUUAAAAAAUAUUUUAUUAUUAUUAAAUUGAAUUUGUGUCGAGUUGAGGUGCAAAAAUCCUUGUCCAAGCUCGAUUCUAGUCGGGUCAAGUCACAUAGACUACCCGAUCUUUGGACAAGUCUAAAUUGGAGCACCCUAAUUACACUUUCCAGUUUUUAGAGUGAGGGUGAGAAUUGAAGUAAUUACGUUGGUGUUACACUCAAAUCCAAUUUUAAAAAUUAUUUUGAUACAAGUUAUAAAAGAAGAAAUUAUUCAGUAUAUUGUUAGUGGAGUUUUUAAACUCUACAAAUAGGAUAAAGAGUUUGACAAAUGUCUUAUAAGGGUAUAGUAAAAUAUUAAAAAAAACACGUCAAAAUUUUAAGGCUGUUUGUGAAAUAAAAAAAGUACAGUGCCACCCAAUAGUUACUCUUAUAAAAGAAUAUAUUAUAUCUAUGAACAUGUAUAAGUGUUUGGGAUGGUUAUGACAAAAGAAUUCGUGUAUUAUAAAUCCUAAAAGCUUAUAUUAUAAAAGUAACUUGUGUAUUUUAUAAAAUUAUAAUAUAUAUUAUUUAAAUCUUAAAAAAUUCUAAAAUUAUGAUAAAAAAUUAUUAUAAAAAACUAAUUUAUAUGUUAUAAAAAUGUUGUUAUAGCAUUUUUAUUUAUAAUAAGUUAGGGCAAAAAAAUAUGGAUAUAAUUUAUUUAUGUCCUAUAUAAUUUACCUUACUUAAAUUCGGACCUGACCCGGUCUGUCUAUAUUUAAUUUUUUAGAUUAUUUUUUAUUUAAAAAUAUUUUUUUUAAAAAUAUAAUACACUAAAUACACUAAAAAUGCUAAAAUAAAAGUUUUCUAACACAUUAAAAAUAUUUAUAUUAAAAAAGACUACCAUAAAUAUAAUAUAUGCUUUAUUAUAUUAAAAGCGCAAAUAAAUAUAAUAAAUAAUUUAUUGUAUUAAAUAUAAAUUUUAAAAUUUUAUAUUUUGGAUUGGGUUAUUUAGUUGGGUUACUUUUUUUUAGGUUUUGGAUAAUGAGUUUAAUUGUUAUUGAGUUAGUGGUUUAAUAUAAAUAAAUAUAGAUAUAAACAUAUAUAAUCAUUUUUUAUAACAUAAUAUAUUCGGGUCGAACUGAGCUCGUGUCUAAAAUAUUACCCGAGGCUUGGCCUAUAUAGAAAACGGAUAAUAAAUUUUACCCAAUCCCAUUUUUUGGGUCUCAUAUUUUUGUCUAAACUUCUCAUAGUUCAAGUGGAUCUUUAGACCUAAAUGAGUGUAAUGGUGUAUGUAUAGGUUUUAUAGAGCAAAACUAAAAAUAUAUGUAGGGGUGAUAUUGAAUUAUAAGUGUUUUUAGGCUGAUGAUAUUCAAGCGUUUGAAGGAAGAAGAGACCCAAACACUUGUUUGCGACUUCUCUUGAAAUUGUAUAAUCAAUUAUAGUUUUAACAAGAGUUGGUCUCUCACCUAUUAAUUAUAUAUAUCAAUACAAUAGCAUGAGAUUGGUGGUUGAGGGUAAAAGUAUAAAGAAUAUUAAAUAUAAUUAAUAAUUUUUCUUUUAAAAUUAUUCAAGUUUCUUUUUGCUUUCCUUUAUUUUCUUGUGAGUAGUUAAGAAAAUUUUAUGUUUGCCAUACCUUAAUUUUCGUAUCAGUUGUUAAGAAAAUGAUUUUUUUUUUCUAUCAUUUAACAUUUUUCUUUAAAUUUUAAAAUGUGUUUAAAAAUAUUUUCUUUUCGAAAUUCUAUUUUUUUUAAUUUGGAAUUCUGUGUUUUAUUUAUUUAUUUUAGAACAUAUUUUUAUAAUUUUAAAAAAAAUAUGUCUGAAAAUAUAAAACAAAAUAGUGUUACAUAAGCAAGGUAAGAUUGGUGAUCAAUUUACUUCAAAUAAAAGAAUAAGGGCCAAUAUGAAUAAAAGUGUAAAAGUUAAUGGAUAAAACAUCAAAAUAUAAUUCUUUUACAUGCAAAGUAAUUUACCCAUUUUUGGAUAAAAAGACUAAGCUCCAGCCUGGAAUUAAGCCUCCAGUGAGGUGAAAUGCAUUUUCAACCUACUGAACAAUGCUUUCCAAAUAGUCUUGCGUUUACUAACAUUUCAGUUGCAAUUUUUUUUAGCUUAAAAAAGCCAACGUACUGAGAUGCAGUUGCAUCCAAAGGAGGCUUAAAUUAAAUAUAUAUGAAGAUAGUUGUAGACUGCAAUGAUAGUAAAUAAACAUCCUUUCUUUGGACAUAUGAGCAUGGAAUAUUGUGUACCUGUAUUUAAGGAAUAUCCUAAUCCCACGAGCCAUGUUCUGGUGCCCAGACAGGCUGCCAGAUGCUUCUUCCAAAAACCAUUCAAAUCAGACAUCGACUACCAAACCGUCAGGCAAGCCCGACAUCUAUUGAAAUUCAACCUCAUUUCAUAUUGAUCGUCUCAUUCCUAAACAUUAGCUCUUCUCUGGGUUUGGUUUGGUCUAUUGCUUUAAAUCAAUUAUCCCAAAAUGACUCCUAGAAUCUAGGUGCUAAAAUAAGUAGUCGAUUCAUAUGAAAUGAAAACGCUGUUGCUCGCAUACUAGCGCUACUAAAUGACCAAUUAUUGCUUUGGACGAAUGCAGCAUGUGAUUUGCCCUGCCAACACAAUAUUCUUCCAUUUCCAGUGGUGGCCAACCGGAUUGAUUAGCUUAAGUGUCAAUUGGUCCACUUCUGAUUUCCUACCCAUUUAAUAUUUGUUGCCAAUGUUAAAGAGUAAGGGAUGAGGAUAGCCAUUAACCACCAUCCGCUCUUUAAAUAAUACCUAAAAUAGGCAACCACCCACCCUGCUUCAUCCAUCAAAAUUUCACAAAGUAAAUAAAAAACAAACCUAAAUUAAGGAAUUCUUUUUUCGUUAAAACUCGUUUCAUAAUCCCAUUAUUGCUAUGUUGUUGUAUCAAAGAGGAUCGUCUUGCUCAAGACUCUAGAGUGUAGCCAGCUCAUUCCAGCAAACUCCCACUCCCUACAUCUUAUCCCUUAAAAUCCCCCCCACUGGCUCUCUCCUUCACAUAUUCCUUUCCAACACAAACCAAAAGACAUGGCUUCAUCAUCUCCUCUUUCUCCCAUUCUCCUCUCUCUGUUUCUAGUAUUCAUUUGUGGGGUGUCAGCUCAAACGGCUCCCGCCCCUGCCCCCUCUGGCCCCUUGAAUUUCACUGGAAUCCUUGACAAAAAUGGCCAAUACACCUACUUCCUUCAGCUUUUGGCACAGACUCAAGUUGGGAGCCAAGUACAAACUCAACUGAAAACCACCACUGAAGGCUUUACCGUCUUUGCUCCCACAGAUAAUGCCUUCAACAACCUCAAACCUGGUACCGUCAAUAACCUGGACCCACAACAGAAAGUACAACUAGUUCUAUACCACGUUAUUCCCAAAUACUACUCCUUGAACGAUCUCCAAUUUGUUAGCAACCCCGUUAGAACCCAAGCUGGUCAGGAUUUCGGCCUCAACGUCACUGGCCUGAACAACCAGGUUAACGUCUCAAGCGGGGUUGUCGAGACUCAGAUUAACAACGCAUUAUAUCAAAAGAAACCUCUGGCAAUUUAUCAAGCGGACAAGGUGUUGUUGCCUGAAGAGUUUUUUGAAGCUAAAUCCCCAGCGGCUGCACCUUCACCGGCGACAAAGAAAUCAUCAACAGGGUCUAAAUCGAACUCAAGAGCAUCAGCAACCGCAGAUGAGCCAGCUUCUGCUGAUAAUUCAGGCUCAGCCGGAAGGAAUAUGGGGCUGAGAUUCGUUGUUGGGCUUGCAUUGGCUUGCAUGGGAUUUCUCUCAUGAGCGGAUAUAUAUGAAGUUGGUCUGCAUUUUUUACUAUAAAUUUUCGUUUUUCAAAUGGAUCGAUAAGGGUCUGAUUGGUCGUUGAACAUAUUCUUGUUAUCCACAUUAUUUGUAUUUCCAGAAUUUUUUGUUGAUUUUGCUUCUGCGCGCUG